AUCAAAUAAGGGCAAACUAUCCGAGAGGGUAGGACGCAAAGUUGUAAGCCUUAAAGUGUAAACGAAGGCGGUUUAACUGCAAUC
This 84-nucleotide non-coding RNA is filed under the name Lachnospiraceae bacterium G41. Its description in RNAcentral is "c-di-GMP-I riboswitch aptamer". It matches the Rfam family "c-di-GMP-I riboswitch aptamer". From Rfam's summary of the family: GEMM was predicted in a large-scale screen for bacterial structured RNA regulatory elements. Genes associated with GEMM are involved in a diverse array of functions, including chemotaxis regulation, signal transduction, secretion and chitin. The record is from Rfam by way of RNAcentral. Lineage: Bacteria; Bacillati; Bacillota; Clostridia; Lachnospirales; Lachnospiraceae.